CCCUCCUUAAUGGUAUGUAACCUGUAAGAUGAAGUACUAUUUUCUCCUCCAGAUCCUUUAAUUAAUGAUCUUCAUUAGCACUUGAUGGAAAUAAAAUUGGAUAGAAUAGAUAUUGGUACCAGGUUCAUAGAGCAUUACUGUGGUGGCCAUAACCAUUUUUUUUGGGGGGGGGGGAGACUGUAUGCUCCUUGGUUUUCAGGUUAGUUUCUGGGAGCUCUGAGGUGUCCAGCUUAAUUGCUCUUCCUAUGGGGUUGCAAUCACCAUCAGCUCAUUCAGUCUGUACACUAACUCUUCCAUGUGGAUUCCUGACCUCAGUUCAAUGGUUGGCUGUAAGUAUCUGCAUAUGUCUCAGUCAUUAGCUGGUAGACCCUCUCAGACAUCAGUCAUGCUAGGCUCCUGUCUACAAGUACAUCAUGGCUUCAGUAAUAGUGUAGUAGUAGGAUUUUAAAAUUUGGGGUAGGAAAAAAAGUUGAAUGCUUUUGACUUGAUGACUGUUCUAUUAGUGCUUGGAGUAUAAGUGCUUGAGAGAAGGCCAUACCAGGCUGGAACUCAAAUAGAUGAUUUUUAGGCUGGGACUAGGUAGGUAAUUUUCACUAUCCUUUCUGUCUUCCAUUACAGUAUCUCCAAUGUGAGUCUGCCCAAAUAGGAUCCUGUUUAUGGGAAAAUCCUUCAAUUCCUCUGCUUUUGGGGGACUUGGCCAUUUGGUGCAGACCCAGAUGAACUUUCUCCCAGGCCCUUUCAGCCUUCUUGGCUAUAUUCCUUUGUGUUAGCUGCAUAUCUCCCCAAAACUCUUUCAGAGACCCACAGUGACCACAAUGGACUAGGGAUCUGGUAGAUGAUUUUUAACUACCCUUCUUAUCCAUCAUUACACUCUAAAUUCUGAGGCAUUCUGCUGGCAAGAAUUCAUUAUACCACCCCAACAGAUUCAUUAGAGCCUCAAUAUUUUGCCCUACAUCCAGGCCGUACAUCCAGGGUCCCACUAGUACUUUUAUUUCUGUCUAUUUUGGCUUCAUUUUUUAAAAAAUCAAGUGUCCAAAAAUGUGUGAUUUUAUUUCUGGGCCUUUGAUUAGAUUCCAUCCAUCAACCUGUCUUUUUCUAUACCAAUACCAUGCAAAUUUAUGCAAUACAGCUAUAGAUCAGGAAUGCUGAUACCCCCUAAAGUUCUAUUAUUGUACAGGAUUGUUUUAGAUUUCCUGGGUUUUCGUUUUUCCAUAUGAAGUAGAAAAUUGUUCUAUCAUGGUCUGUAAAGACGUUUGUUUGGGAUUUUCAUGGGAAUUGUAUUGAAUUUGUAAAUUUAUUUUUGUAAGGUGUCCAUCAACACUUGCAUAACUCAUUGCACAUGGAGAAGUGAAGCUGGUGUAUCUUUGUAACGUUUCUACAGUAAAACACACUCGGACAACCAGGUCUUUCUAUGGCAAAGCUUUUUAUUGUUUACUUUUCAGGAAGACCUCGAACCCGGAAAAUGGAGCUGCUUAAAUACCCCUCUGUGUGAUGUGUCAGCUCUUGAUUAGCUGUUUACUUAUCACCCCACUGCUACACUCCGAGAUGGGCAGUGACUUGGCACGAAUUUACUCUAGCACCUGCGCACAUUGCUUGUUUACUAGUUAGGCACUGUGAAAGCCAGAGCCAUCUUGUAAUGGUGAUUGUUUAUGGCUCUCUACAUCUCCCCCUUUUUAUUUUAUUAAAACGCAAGCCACUCUUUAAUGGAUGAAGAUAGAGGUCUAAUCUCUAGUGUGUAGAAAUAGGGGCCAUGUCAGGAUUGGCUCUUAGGCUCACAGGUUUUUACCCAGAGCAACCCUGACCUGUUCCCAUGCAGUUUUUUUUUUUUUUUUUAGGGGAGGGACACUUGGACACUCAAAUCUCAUGUAAAUCGACUUGUCUUCUAGGAGUGCCCAAACCCCUGAGUGACUCUUAUGUGGUGCUUAGCCCAACAAUCUAUAAGAGUUAAAGACCUACUCACUCGUUCCUGUGCAAUGAGUCUAGCCUCUAGGGGUGUAAGAGCUGAGUAUGGCCUAGGGCAAGCUUUAAUUGUUGAGUCUCUCUCAUUUUCCGCAGAGCCAAGGAGCACAAGAGCAGAGAACUCAGAUGUCAAUUAAGUCUUAAGCAUGGAUAGCCAAAUUUCAGGGGAGGCCCCUUGUUCAAUGGCUGCAAGUGCUUGAGCAAUAACAACCUUGUCACAAUUUUGUUGGGUUCUGAGCUUACAAACCAACCAGAGCAUAAACAGAAGCCCACAGCAGAUGGCAGCAGCAAAUAAAACUACCCCCACCCAUUCCUUAAAAUAAGAAAAUGCAGAUGAAAUCCAGGAGGAGAGACCCUCUGUCAAUGACAGCUCUACUCUUGUCGAGUUGAUCUUUAGAACGGCCACUCUCAGGGCCUCAAGGGUCUCAUCGAAUCUUUCAGACCAAUUUCUUGUAAGAUACAAAGAAAGCUGCCUAGACAGAUUAGCUGUACGAGUAAAUUUUUCAUAUUGAACACUGGCAAUGUACAGAGUGCCUAUUUUUUUUUUUUUACAGCCCAACUGGGCCAACUGGCAUAGAACACUUAUUUGUUCUUCAGCCAGAUCAAGGCGCUAAUUUAAAAUCAUCAGCUCUCCUUUCAACUGGGCACUAACACCUCUCUCAUUACUUACAAUCUUUUGGUAAUAUGGCCAAAUAUUUUCUUUUUCUGUAGCAUCUCUUUUAUCAUUCAUUACAGCAAAAUCUAAUGGAGGUGACAAAACAAAACCCUAUGUUAUUUCUUUCUGAGAAAAAAAGUUUUUGAUUGACAAGGUGAAAAAACUAUAGGAAAUGUAAGGUCCAGAUGACACCAAAGCAUGCUGUAUAUAGCAGUAGUAUUGCCAACAGGCCAUUGUGAUCUUUAGGGAAUAGUCUCAUUUCCCUUUAUUAUAAUUGUGGUGAUGUUUAUAGGUGAAGUUACAUUUUUUUUAACAUCACUUGAGCCUGACUGUGCUCCUUGAGCAACUUGCGUU
This 2968-nucleotide long non-coding RNA is filed under the name Mus musculus (house mouse). Its description in RNAcentral is "long non-coding RNA chr19:13348036-13351004". The record is from RNAcentral. Lineage: Eukaryota; Metazoa; Chordata; Mammalia; Rodentia; Muridae.